RNAcentral lists this transfer RNA (65 nucleotides) under Dipodomys ordii (Ord's kangaroo rat). It matches the Rfam family "tRNA". From Rfam's summary of the family: Transfer RNA (tRNA) molecules are approximately 80 nucleotides in length. The record is from Rfam by way of RNAcentral. Lineage: Eukaryota; Metazoa; Chordata; Mammalia; Rodentia; Heteromyidae.
GGUGGCUCAGUGGCAGAGCACUUGCCUUGCAUGCAUGAGGCCCUGGGUUCGAUUCCUUAGUACCA